UUACACAUGCAAGUCGCACGGUCAGCGAAUGGCAGUGGCGGACGGGUGAGUAACGCGUAGGAAUCUAUCCUUGAAUGGGGGACAACCGUGGGAAACUACGGCUAAUACCGCAUGAUGCCUGAGGGCCAAAGACGAAAGUCGUUUGAGGAGGAGCCUGCGUCUGAUUAGGUAGUUGGCGGGGUAAUGGCCACCAAGACGGUGAUCGGUAUCCGGCCUGAGAGGGCGCACGGACACACUGGAACUGAAACACGGUCCAGACUCCUACGGGAGGCAGCAGUGGGGAAUAUUGGACAAUGGGCGCAAGCCUGAUCCAGCAAUGCCGCGUGGGUGAAGAAGGUCUUCGGAUUGUAAAGCCCUUUUGGCGGGGACGAUGAUGACGGUACCCGCAGAAUAAGCUCCGGCUAACUUCGUG
This 412-nucleotide ribosomal RNA is filed under the name uncultured bacterium. RNAcentral describes it as "bacterial SSU rRNA". It matches the Rfam family "Bacterial small subunit ribosomal RNA", at positions 49 to 507 of the family's 1533-position model. The record is from RNAcentral.